This 3772-nucleotide unclassified non-coding RNA is filed under the name Gigantopelta aegis. RNAcentral's name for it is "putative elongator complex protein 1, transcript variant X2". The record is from RNAcentral. Lineage: Eukaryota; Metazoa; Mollusca; Gastropoda; Neomphalida; Peltospiridae.
AUUCAAAAUGGCGCUUCCCAUGGGGACAUGAUUUGCAGCAAGAAUGUUUAUUUUUCUUUAUAAAGUUCUAUAAUGAGCUGUAUUAAAUAGGACAUGUAAAUCAUUCUAGCUGUCUACUAAGAAGCCAUGAGAAAUUUAAAACUUCUGCGUUGUGAACAAACCCCAGCCUGUGAGAGUUAUCCGGAUGUCCGUCAGUCCAGCAUAGAUCCAGAUACUGGAACACUAUACUGUGCAACAAGAACGUUAUUGUUUGGAUUGACAAGUGAUGGAAAGAAAUGUUAUGAAGCUCCUUUGACCGAGUACAUUCCAACCGAUGGGUCUGGUGAUGUCAUUGGUUUACAGUAUCUUCCAGAUCAGCAGUCAAACUGUGUCGCCACUAGCUCAGGAGAUGUUCUGCUGUGCAAUUCCUCCUAUCAAGAGAUUGAAUGUGUUGGUAAUGUCGAUAGUGGAUUGUUGGCUAUGGCGUGGAGUCCAGAUCAAGAUGUGGUUGUAUUUGUUACAGGAGCCGAUACUUUAAUUUUGAUGAAUCGAGAAUUUGAUCCCAUCACAGAGGUACCACUUCAACCACCGGAUGCAGGAGAAGCUGAAUUUGUGAAUGUUGGCUGGGGAAAAAAAGAAACCCAGUUUCAUGGAUCAGAGGGAAAAGAUGCUGCCAAGAAGAAGGCGGAGGAAGUUGGUCAAGCACUAUACAUGGAUGAUCAGCGACCACGGGUGUCCUGGCGAGGUGAUGGUCAAUACUUUGUCGUCAGCAGCAUUCACAAAACAACAGGAUGCCGGUGUCUACAUGUGUGGACCAGGGAGUGUAUACUUCACUCAACAGGGGAGGUGCUUAAUGGUUUGGAGCAAGCCCUUGCUUGGAAACCAAGUGGCAGUCUGAUUGCGUCGACAAGGAGAAAGCCAAACAAACAUGAAGUGGUGUUCUUCGAGAAGAAUGGACUGAACCAUGGGGAAUUCACUCUGCCAUUCCAACACGAUCAGAUUACGGUGUGUGAGCUGUUGUGGAACUCUGACUCCACAGUGUUGGCUGUUUGGUGUGAAGAGUUGACACCGUCAAAGGACAAUGAUGGUCGUCGGUCAAACACAUACAUUCAGUUGUGGACUGUGAACAACUACCACUGGUAUCUGAAGCAGAGCCUUCACUUCAUCUCACAGCCGGGUGAUGGCAUUGUGACUGUUCUGUGGGACCCCGAGCAGGCCUACAAGCUACACGUCGUGUUGUCCAGCGGUCAGCACCUCGGUUACACCUGGGCCUGGACCACAGAUAACAGUCUCGGGAAGUCGGCUGAUGAUGACGCAGUCACUGCUGUUAUUGAUGGAGACCAAGUUCUGGUGACUCCGUUCCGUGUGAUGGUUGUCCCCCCACCCAUGUGUGCGUACAGUCUGCAGCUCCCGGCCCCAGUCUGUCAGGUAGCGUUUGGCUCGGACAGAGCCGACAUUGCUGUGAUCACAAACAACAACAAACUAGCUAUCUACAAACAACUGGACAGCAGUGACAAAGAGACAAAAUCUGAUGACAGUGUAACCAUAUCGGCAGCUGGUGGUAAUGGUUUCAAGUCUCAGUGCAACACACACAGGCUACAGGCUGUUUACAGUAUUGAUGUGGGCAGCUCAGGACUGGACCGAGACUCUCUGACAGUGAUGCAUCUCACCUGGGUCUCGGAUGACUUGUUUGUCUUUGCUGUCACCGACUCCACCACCAGAACAUCUCUACUGUGUUCAGCCUCACUGUCAAACAGUAGUCUGCAGAUCAGCUGUGUGACAGAAGUUCAACAUGGAGUGGUGUCGAGUCUGUGUCGCAGUCUGAAGGCUGGUACUUUGGCUCUACAGACUCAGGAUGGAUCUCUCUUCAGGUUCACUCCGGCAUCGUCCAGUGGAGAGAGUGGGAAACUUGAAUCGUGGUCAGACAGCCGAGGGGCAGUUAUCAGAUUUCCAUACUUCUGUACACAGAUGGCCACAUGUGCGUUUGCCAAUAAUGAAGUAGUACUUGGACUGACAGAGAGAUACAGGUUUUAUGUCAAUGAUGUGGAGUUUGCCUCCAACUGUACAUCAUUUGCCAUCCAUGAUGAAUUCCUCCUGCUCACGACGCUGGCUCACACACUGCGCUGUAUCUGUUUCACUACAAAGGUGUCUGAUCUGCACAGUCUGCUGCAUGGUAAAGCUCACCCGUUUGACGAGAGUGUACGACGGGUUGAACGGGGGUCACGAAUCGUGACUGCUGUGCGAGGGGAGACAACUGUUGUUCUGCAGAUGCCGCGUGGAAACCUCGAGGUUAUCCACCCGCGAGCUCUGGUCCUCUCAGCCAUCAAGAAACAUCUUGACAAUCUACAGUACCAGAAAGCUCUGAUUCUGAUGAGAAAGCACCGAAUUAACACCAAUCUGAUCUAUGACCAUGACCCGGAGUGUUUCCGAAACAAUGUGCUCCAGUUUGUGUUACAAGUGAAAGAAGCCAACUACAUCAACUUGUUUCUCACGGAUCUCCAGGAAGAAGAUGUAACUGUCACAAUGUACACAGCAACCUACAAGAGAGUGCCAGUUGCUGUAGUUGAUGACGACGAUAGUGAUAAACCUAAAAAAGUGGAUGUUGUGUGCGACUGCAUGCGAGAAGCUCUGACUGCUAUAGAUAAAGACAAAUACAUCCUCUCCAUUCUGACGUGUCACGUGAAGAAAACCAAGCCAGACCUGGAAGAGGCACUGCACGUCAUUAAGCAGGUCAAAGAGAGUCCUGCAGGGUCGCGGUCUGUCACAACGGACGAGACUCUCAAGUAUCUGCUUUUCCUCGUCGAUGUCAACAACCUGUACGAUGUCGCUCUCGGAAUGUACGACUUCGACCUCGUACUCCUGGUGGCUCAGAAAUCACAGAAGGACCCUAAAGAGUAUGUACCAUUUCUGAAUGAGUUGAGGCGUAUGGAAGGCAACAUGAUGAAGUAUACAAUAGACGUUCAUUUACGAAGAUUCCACAAGGCUCUUGUACAUAUCAGUAAAUGUGGACCAGAUCAUUUUGACCAGUGCUUGUCUUUAAUACAAGAGCAUAAACUUUACCUGGAGGCCAUACCAUUAUUUCCCAAUUCAUCCAACAAUUACAAGCAAGUGUGUAAGGUCUAUGGCCAGUACCUGUGUGAGAAGAACAGACAAGAUGAAGCAGGCGUCAUGUUUCUGAAAGCGGGAGACUGGCAGAUGGCGCUGGACGCGUUUGUGUCAUGUCACAACUGGCGACAGGUCUUCUGUGUCACCUCACUGUUGGGCUACACGCCGGACAAGGAGAUCCAGAUAGCGAGAAAACUGGCUGCCCAGAUAAAGGACCUGAAGAACUACAGUGAUGCUGCUGUUAUAUUUGAACAACAUGCUAAGGAUACCGAGGAAGCCAUUGUUUGUCUUGUGGAAGGGUGUCUUUGGGAUGAAGCACUACGAAUGAUGUACAAGCACACGCGUACUGACUUCAUUGAGACAAAUCUGAAAAGUGGAUUACUGGAAAGUCACAGUCACACGAUGGAAGGACUACAGAGCAUGAGGACCGACUUUGACAAACACAGACACAGACUUAGAACUGUCAGAGAACACAAGAGGAAAGCAAGUCUGGACCUGCUAGGUCUAAAAAACUGACUGCUUUUCACGGGUCAUUAUUUCAAGUUCAGCAUUUUUCAAUAAUUUUAACAGAUGGCGAGAGUGCAAUGAACGUCCACAAUUCAGACCUGUUCUCUGACACCAGCAGUGUCCUGUCUGCUCAGUCGACGGUCGACAGUCGGAGAUCCACCGUCAUCAGCAGGGUGUCUGG